RNAcentral lists this ribosomal RNA (494 nucleotides) under uncultured bacterium. RNAcentral describes it as "partial 16S ribosomal RNA". It matches the Rfam family "Bacterial small subunit ribosomal RNA", at positions 28 to 507 of the family's 1533-position model. The record is from RNAcentral.
GACGAACGCUGGCGGCGUGCUUAACACAUGCAAGUCGAACGGAAAGGCCUGCUUUCCCUUGUGGAUUGCGGGUACUCGAGUGGCGAACGGGUGAGUAACACGUGAGUGAUCUGCCCCCAACUUGGGUAUAAGCCUGGGAAACUGGGUCUAAUUCCCGAUAGGACUGCAGGGUGGUGCCUGUGGUGGAAAACGAUUUUCUAGUGGUUGGGGAUGAGCUGGCGGCCUAUCAGCUUGUUGGUGGGGUAAUGGCCUACCAAGGCGGCGACGGGUAGCCGGCCUGGGAGGGUGGACGGGCACAUUGGGACGGAGAUACGGCCCAGACGCCGACGGGAGGCAGCAGUGGGGAAUAUUGCACAAUGGGCGGAAGCCUGAUGCAGCGACGCCGCGUGGGGGAUGACGGCCUUCGGGUUGUAAACUCCUUUCGACCGCGAGGAAGCCACCUGGUUGGAAGGGUGGUGACGGUAGUGGUAGAAGAAGCACCGGCUAACUACGUG